UACGUAGGGGGCUAGCGUUAUCCGGAAUUACUGGGCGUAAAUGGUGCGUAGGUGGUUUCUUAAGUCAGAGGUGAAAGGCUACGGCUCAACCGUAGUAAGCCUUUGAAACUGAGAAACUUGAGUGCAGGAGAGGAGAGUAGAAUUCCUAGUGUAGCGGUGAAAUGCGUAGAUAUUAGGAGGAAUACCAGUUGCGAAGGCGGCUCUCUGGACUGUAACUGACACUGAGGCACGAAAGCGUGGGGAGCAAACAGGAUUAGAUACCCUGGUAGUCCCU
This 274-nucleotide ribosomal RNA is filed under the name uncultured prokaryote. Its description in RNAcentral is "partial 16S ribosomal RNA". It matches the Rfam family "Bacterial small subunit ribosomal RNA", at positions 524 to 798 of the family's 1533-position model. The record is from RNAcentral.